CAGUCGCCGCGGGAAAACGAAGGGUGCAAGCGUUACUCGGAAUUACUGGGCGUAAAGCGUGCGUAGGUGGUGGUUUAAGUCCGUUGUGAAAGCCCUGGGCUCAACCUGGGAAUUGCAGUGGAUACUGGAUCACUAGAGUGUGGUAGAGGAUAGUGGAAUCUCCGGUGUAGCAGUGAAAUGCGUAGAGAUCGGAAGGAACAUCUGUGGCGAAGGCGACUAUCUGGGCCAACACUGACACUGAGGCACGAAAGCGUGGGGAGCAAACAGGAUUAGAUACCCGUGUAGUCCCUGUCUCUUAUAC
RNAcentral lists this ribosomal RNA (301 nucleotides) under uncultured bacterium. Its description in RNAcentral is "partial 16S ribosomal RNA". It matches the Rfam family "Bacterial small subunit ribosomal RNA", at positions 509 to 807 of the family's 1533-position model. The record is from RNAcentral.